Molecule: ribosomal RNA, 407 nt
Filed under: uncultured bacterium
Lineage: Bacteria
Description: partial 16S ribosomal RNA
Rfam family: Bacterial small subunit ribosomal RNA
Source: RNAcentral
AUUGAACGCUGGCGGCAGGCCUAACACAUGCAAGUCGAACGGCGCGGCGAACGGGUGAGUAAUGCCUAGGAAUCUGCCCGGUAGUGGGGGAUAACUCCCGGAAAGGGGCGCUCAUACCGCAUACUUUCAACUGGGCCUAGGUUGGAUGAGCUAGUUGGAGGGGUAACGGCCUACCAAGGCGACGAUGCGUAGCGGGUCUGAGAGGAUGAUCAGUCACACUGGAACUGAGACACGGCCCAGACUCCUACGGGAGGCAGCAGUGGGGAAUAUUGGACAAUGGGCGAAAGCCUGAUCCAGCCAUGCCGCGUGUGUGAAGAAGGUCUUCGGAUUGUAAAGCUCUUUUGGUAGGGAAGCGGUACCUACAGAAUAAGCACCGGCUAACUACGUGCCAGCAGCCGCGGUAAUAC